CUACGGGGCGCAGCAGCAGGGAAUAUUGCACAAUGGACGGAAGUCUGAUGCAGCGACGCCGCGUGGAUGAUGAAGGCCUUCGGGUUGUAAAAUCCUUUUCAGGGAGAAGAGGAAGGACGGUAUCCCUGGAAUAAGCGUCGGCUAGACUACGUGCCAGCAGCCGCGGUAAUACGUAGGACGCAAGCGUUAUCCGGAUUUACUGGGCGUAAAGCGUCUGUAGGCGGUUUAGUAAGUUUGAUGUGAAAGCUCCAGGCUCAACUUGGAGAGUGCAUUGAAUACUGCUAGACUUGAGGGGAUCAGAGGAAAGCGGAAUUUCCGGUGUAGCGGUAAAAUGCGCAGAUAUCGGAAAGAACACCAGUGGCGAAGGCGGCUUUCUGGGAUCAACCUGACGCUGAGAGACGAAAGCUAGGGUAGCGAACAGGAUUAGAUACCCGCGUAGUC
RNAcentral lists this ribosomal RNA (441 nucleotides) under uncultured bacterium. RNAcentral's name for it is "partial 16S ribosomal RNA". It matches the Rfam family "Bacterial small subunit ribosomal RNA", at positions 339 to 795 of the family's 1533-position model. The record is from RNAcentral.